This is a non-coding RNA of Schistosoma margrebowiei, 45 nucleotides long. Lineage: Eukaryota; Metazoa; Platyhelminthes; Trematoda; Strigeidida; Schistosomatidae. The record is from Rfam.
AUCCAGCUGGCGAGUCCCAAAUAGGACGAAACGUGCGUCCUGGAU